UGACUAAGUGUGACGAAGGUGUUGAGC
Molecule: non-coding RNA, 27 nt
Filed under: Macaca fascicularis (crab-eating macaque)
Lineage: Eukaryota; Metazoa; Chordata; Mammalia; Primates; Cercopithecidae
Also listed under: 1 other name
Source: RNAcentral